Molecule: ribosomal RNA, 500 nt
Filed under: uncultured bacterium
Lineage: Bacteria
Description: partial 16S ribosomal RNA
Rfam family: Bacterial small subunit ribosomal RNA
Source: RNAcentral
AAUCAACGCUGGCGGCGUGCCUAACACAUGCAAGUCGAACGCGAAAGCCCCGCAAGGGGUAAGUAGAGUGGCAAACGGGUGAGUAACACGUGGGUGACCUGCCUUCGAGUGGGGGAUAACGUCCCGAAAGGGACGCUAAUACCGCAUAUUCUGUGAGCAGGAAAGCAGGGGAUCGCAAGACCUUGCGCUGAUUGAGCGGCCGAUAUCAGAUUAGCUAGGUGGUGAGGUAAAGGCUCACCAAGGCGACGAUCUGUAGCGGGUCUGAGAGGAUGAUCCGCCACACUGGAACUGAGACACGGUCCAGACUCCUACGGGAGGCAGCAGUGGGGAAUUUUGGACAAUGGGCGCAAGCCUGAUCCAGCAAUGCCGCGUGCAGGAAGAAGGCCUUCGGGUUGUAAACUGCUUUUGUACGGAACGAAACGGUCCUGGUUAAUACCUGGGGCUAAUGACGGUACCGUAAGAAUAAGCACCGGCUAACUACGUGCCAGCCGCCGCCGUAA